AAUUUUAAGUGAGACUAGCUGGUGAUGAGAUUGAGAGGGUAAUUUAGUCUCUAGCCUAAGAGGUCUUUUACCAGCUUUAUUCACUGAUAAGUGUUAAACUGUGGAGUGAUAUGCUGCUUCAUUUUGGGCUGCAGUGUGUGGCUCAGUGUUGUCAGGCUGAUGAUAGAUUGUUUGAUGUAGUCAUAUCUACUGAGACAGGGGAAGCUAUCUCAAAUUCCAUCCAGAAGAACUAUGGGCCUUCUAAUUAAAAAAACUUCAUAAGAGCAUGUUACUUAAUGACAUUGUCACAGCUGUCCUGAUGUAGAAGACGACUCUUUACAAAAUGAAACUUGCUUUUAUCAGGGUGGUGCUACACUUUGAAUUCAUCUCCAGAGCUGCGCUCCAUUACCCCAGCAUGCAUAUGCUGGAGCAAACUCAUAAGCUUAUAAAGGCAUGCUGGGCAGUUGUCAGCUUCUAUUUUUAAACUGUUUCUGAGAAACACUUCUGUCUCCUAUCUGUGCACAAGCAUAGGAAAGGCUAUACUUCAUGCAGGAGCCAUGGUGUCUGGGCUCAGCUAACAGCAGUUUGUGAACUUGAGUUACUAUCUCUCUUCAGAGAUAGUAGGGCUGAAUCUGCACUGGCUUCUGUUGAGGAGGGGAAAUCAUGCGAACUAGGAAAUUUUUAAUGGGAAUCGUGAUGACUGGUGUCAAAAGCACCUGCUUUGCUAUGCUUAACGGAAUACAAGAAGAGUUGAGCUGGACCACUUUAAAUAGUAUCUCUCCUGGUGAUUCUUAAACAUAAAGGUUUUUUCGUACCUAGUUGAUUCUAUGAUUUUAAGAGCAUCAAGUCCAACCAUUACCCCAGGAAACAUAGUGGCUUUACUUAAGAGUCUGCUACUGAUUUGCAGGGACCUUUGCUCUAAUUGUGUGAUACUACUAUAUGCUGCCUUUAUGCCUUUUUCUGAUGUUAGUGGAAACUUAAAAAUGCAACACGGUUCUGUAUGCAAGUAGGACUAGUAUUUUAAGGUUUUUCCUCCCUUUUUCCAAGAUCAUCUACUUCAGACUCGGCCAGAAAUAGAAACACUGAAUGUGAGUGUUAACAUACUCUUGCUAUGGUAGGGAGAGAAUUCCAAAAUUGAAGGGCCACUUCAGACAAUGUGUAAUGUAGUUUGGGGCA
Long non-coding RNA from Strigops habroptila (Kakapo), 1155 nucleotides. RefSeq lists it as uncharacterized. NCBI's taxonomy places the organism in Eukaryota, Metazoa, Chordata, Aves, Psittaciformes, Psittacidae. The record is from RefSeq and is a predicted model, not a curated record. The transcript has 2 exons.